AAAAAAAAAUGCUUUUGUAAUGUUGAGAAACACUGAAAUUAUUAUUCAUAAAAAACUUUCAACCACUGUUCUGUGAUGUCACGUAUAGUGAUAUACAAAUAUAUCUGAAGGAAAGGUGUAUUUGGGAUAAUCAAUAUUAUUAGUAUUAUUCAUGUAUUUAUUCAUUUUUAAAUCAGAGAAUGGGGGAAAAUAGAUUAUUAGUACAAAAACUAGUAACUAGUAAAAAAAAAAAUGGUAACAAUAAUGUUCAUUCAUUAAUUGACGCUUGGUCAAACUCUCAUCUAAUUAAGUAUUGCUGUCUCAUUAAUGUAUUAAUGUAUUUAUUUAUUUUGUCGGCUAAAACCUGAGGAGAAGAAGAAGAUGACUUUAUUAAUCCCACAAUGGGGAAAUUCAACCUCUGCAUUUAACCCAUCCUUUUUUACACACAAGUGAACACACCAUGCAAGGAGCAGUGGGCAGCACAUUACUGCGCCCGAAGCCAUCACCAUGUUGUUUUUUCACAUCAGAAUAAGUAUUUCACAUGAUGCAGAUCUUUCAGCAUGUGGUCCUCAAUAUAUAGUAUAGAAGUCACUGUAUUUUCUGACUUUUCCAGGUUUCCUGUGUCCAGCAUCUUCAAGACAGACUAAGCUAACUUUUCAUAUUUUUUGCACAUUUAUAUUUAGGUUAGGUUUAUAGUAGAGUAUUUAGUUUGUAUAGUUUAGCUUUUUAUGCUGGUCUAGGGACAGUUAAGUUAGCAAAUUAAUUUAGUUCAGAUCACUUACAGUUGCAUAUUAUUGUUACAAUUGUGUUAUUUUGUGAGUUAUUGUUGUACAGGCUAUUGUAUAUUGCAGGACCAAGUGAGACGAGGAAGACCACUGCUUCCAAGAUGCCGCGCUCAGAAAGUGCGUUGGACAAGUCUCGACCUUGCAGAUCCUGCCCCACUGAGCCCAACCACUUCCGACCAUGGGGUACCUCAAAGACCUCCGUCAACCAGCCGGCUGUGGAUGAUGGAUAACGCACCCACAACUCCUUCUCCAGUCUACAAGGAAGGAGUUCUCAGAGACAUCCUGGUAUGUAGACUUGCUAGAUGAUUUCAUCUGAAGGAGUUCCAAGAUCCAGAAACAUGGAUCACCUCGUUCCACGACGCUGGACUGCACUAUGAGAGGGCACGAAUAUCAAGCCUUUGUGGGAUCACUAUGAACGCCCUAAGGCGCAAAGCUGGGACAGAUCUUUCCGGCAAUAUAGCAGGACAUUUGCAGGACGGCACUAUGAAAGAGGCUUCUUUGCCUUCUGUGAUAUCUGACUUCCAGCGCCGACAAAGUGACCGAUAUCUCUUUGAAUGGACUGACCCCAUAGUACAUCAAGGACCUCAUCCAAAUCUAUACUCCAGCGCUCAAAUUGAGGUCCGAGGGCCAGCUCCAGCCCGUGGUGCCUUGAGCGAGAUUUAAAACCAGGGGGGACAGGGCUUUCUCUGUGGUGGGCCCCAGACUUUGGAUUGCCCUCCCCCUCCAUGUCCCAACAGCCCCCACGGUGGAGUGCUUUAAGUCUCGUCUUAAGACCCAUUUUUAUUUCCUGGCUUUUUAACUUUGCUUGAGUUUUGUGGUCCUCUGUGUCUUUUAUUUCUUUUACUACUUCAAACUACAUCUUUUAUUUAUUUUACUAUCUGUUUGAUUUUAUUGUUUUAUUUAUAGCAUCAUUUUAGAGUAAUACACUUUUUAUUUAUUGCUGAUUGUUAUAUGGAAAUGUUCGUUUUAUUGUUGAUUCUAUGUACAGCACUUUGGAGACGUUUUUGUUGUUUAAAUGUGCUAUACAAAUAAAGUGGAUUGGAUUGAA
Molecule: long non-coding RNA, 1812 nt
Organism: Centropristis striata (black sea bass)
Lineage: Eukaryota; Metazoa; Chordata; Actinopteri; Perciformes; Serranidae
Exons: 3
Source: RefSeq, a predicted model, not a curated record